Molecule: ribosomal RNA, 587 nt
Filed under: Enterobacterales bacterium
Lineage: Bacteria; Pseudomonadati; Pseudomonadota; Gammaproteobacteria; Enterobacterales
Description: bacterial SSU rRNA
Rfam family: Bacterial small subunit ribosomal RNA
Source: RNAcentral
CUUGGAGGUUGUGCCCUUGAGGCGUGGCUUCCGGAGCUAACGCGUUAAGUCGACCGCCUGGGGAGUACGGCCGCAAGGUUAAAACUCAAAUGAAUUGACGGGGGCCCGCACAAGCGGUGGAGCAUGUGGUUUAAUUCGAUGCAACGCGAAGAACCUUACCUACUCUUGACAUCCACAGAAUUCGCUAGAGAUAGCUUAGUGCCUUCGGGAACUGUGAGACAGGUGCUGCAUGGCUGUCGUCAGCUCGUGUUGUGAAAUGUUGGGUUAAGUCCCGCAACGAGCGCAACCCUUAUCCUUUGUUGCCAGCACGUAAUGGUGGGAACUCAAAGGAGACUGCCGGUGAUAAACCGGAGGAAGGUGGGGAUGACGUCAAGUCAUCAUGGCCCUUACGAGUAGGGCUACACACGUGCUACAAUGGCGUAUACAAAGAGAAGCGAACUCGCGAGAGCCAGCGGACCUCAUAAAGUACGUCGUAGUCCGGAUCGGAGUCUGCAACUCGACUCCGUGAAGUCGGAAUCGCUAGUAAUCGUAGAUCAGAAUGCUACGGUGAAUACGUUCCCGGGCCUUGCACUCACCGCCCGUCAAAA